GUGGUAAUGCCGGAUGUUCCAGUUGAUCGCAUGGUCUUCUGGGAAAGCUUUCGCGGUAUGGGAUGGGGUCGCGUCCUAUCAGCUUGACGGCGGGGUAACGGCCCACCGUGGCUUCGACGGGUAGCCGGCCUGAGAGGGCGACCGGCCACAUUGGGACUGAGAUACGGCCCAGACUCCUACGGGAGGCAGCAGUGGGGAAUAUUGCACAAUGGGCGCAAGCCUGAUGCAGCGACGCCGCGUGAGGGAUGGAGGCCUUCGGGUUGUAAACCUCUUUUAUCGGGGAGCAAGCGUGAGUGAGUUUACCCGUUGAAUAAGCACCGGCUAACUACGUGCCAGCAGCCGCGGUAAUACGUAGGGUGCAAGCGUUAUCCGGAAUUAUUGGGCGUAAAGGGCUCGUAGGCGGUUCGUCGCGUCCGGUGUGAAAGUCCAUCGCUUAACGGUGGAUCCGCGCCGGGUACGGGCGGGCUUGAGUGCGGUAGGGGAGACUGGAAUUCCCGGUGUAACGGUGGAAUGUGUAGAUAUC
RNAcentral lists this ribosomal RNA (523 nucleotides) under Bifidobacterium longum subsp. infantis. RNAcentral's name for it is "bacterial SSU rRNA". It matches the Rfam family "Bacterial small subunit ribosomal RNA", at positions 160 to 698 of the family's 1533-position model. The record is from RNAcentral. RNAcentral also lists the same sequence under 1 other name. Lineage: Bacteria; Bacillati; Actinomycetota; Actinomycetes; Bifidobacteriales; Bifidobacteriaceae.